Arachis stenosperma is the source of this 3059-nucleotide RNA transcript. RefSeq lists it as uncharacterized. The record is from RefSeq and is a predicted model, not a curated record. NCBI's taxonomy places the organism in Eukaryota, Viridiplantae, Streptophyta, Magnoliopsida, Fabales, Fabaceae. The transcript has 11 exons.
UCUGUGCGUACGCACAUGCGUACAGACACUCUCAUGCACGCCCUCUGCUCACAACGUUCGCACCCCCAAUUCAUCCUCUUCUGCUGGGAGCACCAGCACUGUUGGUGCGUCCGCAUCCCCCUACUCUUCCUUCCCUUCUCUUUUCCUAUUCCCCAACGUUCAUCCCUCUCCUCUCAUUCUCUGUUCCAACAUCCACCACCACCAUCACCCAUCAACGUCCAUCACCACAACCUCCGCCGGCAACCGCCAGCGACCGCCGCGCCCUUUCCCUUCUCUUCUUCCACUCUCCCUCUCUCGGCCUCACCACCGCGUCCUCUCUGUCCUCCCCGCUUGUCUCCUCUUCGCGGUACCCUAGCGCCGCCCAGAACCACCGAGCCUGCGCGGACCGGCAUAGCCACCGUAGCCUCCACCAUCGACGAGCCACGGUGACCCAACCCUCUUCUCCUUCCUCCGCGAAUCACCGCCCAGCGCCGCCAGCCACACUAAUUGCUGAGCCCAGAACCCACCGCGUGCUCUCUGUCCUCCUCACCGUCGUCCAACAUCUCUCGGCAGCCUCCUUCUUCUCCCUCUAUCCUUCCCGUCGCUGUCAGGUCCAGAGACCACAAGGUCCUCUUCUUCGCGACCCCCUUCUGACACAACCCUUGUCUCUCUCGUUCCUUCUGGGUUGAAGAACAGAGCAAGUUCAAGCUCCUGUUCUCUUCGUCUGAGGUGAGUUCCAGCUAUUGCGACGACACCACCCCUGUUCCACCAAGCCCAGAACUCCUCUCCCCUGUUUCUUUGCUGCGUCAACUCUCCGCCGCUGCUAUUGAAGCAGCGCCACCACCAGGCCAGCUGGGUUGCUCUGGCCGUUCACUCACCAUCAUCCACCAUCUUCUAUCCCUACCCUUCCUCUGUCCAAUUCUGCUUCCCAGUUUUCAGCUUCUGUUCACUUGAGGAGGAGGAAGACCAGCAUCAUGAGCCGGAGGAGGCCCGAGACCCACCAGCAGACGGAAGAGCCGAUGAUAGCGGCGACUCCUUCCACUCCGCAUGAUCGUAAGCACUGAGGACGGUGCUACAUUUUAAGUGUGGGGAGGUUGUCCAACGUCAGCAGCGCAUUUUGGGUAUGGUUCAUGGAGAGUUUGCUUCACCUAUGCCACAUGGUUUGGGAUAAAUGAGUUGAUUGCUUCUGGAAAGAGUUAUAGUGAUUCCCCAGCCAUUCAUAAAGCUUGUGAAUUUUUGCUGUCUAAGCAGCUUUCAAAUGGUUGCUAGAGAGAGGGUUAUUUGUCUUGUCAAAACAAGGUGUAUUCAAAUCUUGAAAACAACAGGGCUCAUCUUGUAAACACAUCGUGGGCCUUGCUGGCUCUCAUUGCUGCUGGACAGAUGGAGAGUUUCUGUGCCACACAUUCCAGUACUUAGUUACUCGCGACGACUACUCAGCCAUUGCCAAUGGGACUUUUUUCCAACUUGGUCACAGCAGAGUGGCUGCAGAACACUAACAGCUAUUCACAAGAUGCUAUUCUGGCCGGUGGAAAGGUUAAUGUGACAGUUAAACUGUUCUUGUGGAGACAGUAAUAUUAGCAAAGAUUAUGGAUUGUUCAUCACAUACCCUCUUAAGCCUGAGGAUUCUUUGCAGUCAAUUGCAAACCAGACAAAGCUUGAUCCUGAGUUGUUGAUGAAAUACAACCCCGGUGUAAAUUUCAGAUAAGGGAGUGGUCUGGUUUAUAUUCCCGGCAGAGAUGAAAACGGCAACUAUGCGCCUCUUCACCGAAGCUCUGGAGGUUUGUCCAUUCUCAAUCAAAAGAAAGUAGUCUUAUUGAUAAUUGUUUACACUCGAAUUUGAUAUCAAUACCCAAUCCAGGGUAAGGAUAUCCUAAAAGAAAAAUGUAAUAGUACUACUUUCUGCUCAAUUUUGUUCUUGUAGAACAGGUUUACCAGGUAAGGUUGUUGCUGGAAUAUCUGUUGGAGUUGUAGCAGUACUUCUGUUAUUAGCAUUUUGUGUUUGUAUUAAAUGUUGCGGAAGGAAGAAGAAAAAACUGAGAACAGAAUAUUUCGGUCGGAACACUACUCGAGCUAGGGAAGAUAAAGCCUCAGAUAGCUUUGUAAACACAAGUAUAGAAAAAUCAGCAGAGUUUUCAUAUGAAGAACUGGCCCAUGCCACAAGUAACUUCAAUUUGGCUAACAAAAUUGGUCAAGGUGGUUUUGGAGAAAUCUAUUAUGCAGAGCUGAAUGGCAAGAAAGCUGCAAUAAAGAAGAUGGACAUGAAAGCAUCAAAAUAAUUUCUCGCAGAACUAUGAUCAAUGGUGGUGCUGAAAUCAAGGGACUUGUAGCUUUGUUUCAUCAAGUUUUUGAUCAACCAGAUCCUAAAGGUCUUAAAGAACUGGUGGAUCCUAGGCUUGGAGAUAAUUACUCAAUUGAUUCAGUUUUCAAGGCUUAUAAGGCAAGUAUGGAUUGAAGAAGUGGAAGGAAAGCAUGCAAAAUGGGAGAAUUCAAGAAAUGAAGGAUUUGUAAAGCUGCCAGCCCUGACAUCUCGAUACUAAAAUGAUCAUAACUUGAGCUACAGAGGUCCAAAUGAGGCGGUUUCAGCGGCAUUGGAAAGCUAACGUCCGGGGUUUCGAAAUGAUAUAUAAUUUGCUACAGUGGACUAAGUUGAAGUGUGCGUACGCAUACAAUUUGUGCACACGCAUAGGUCAGAAAAUAGCAAGUGAGCUCAUUAACUGAUAUAUAAUUUGCUACAGUGCACACAAUUUGUGUGCGUCCGCACAGGUCCUGGCACGUGAGCUCAUUAACUGAAAAUCGCUGGGGGCGAUUUCUGGGCCCCAAAAACGAACCCAACUCAUUUCUGAAGUUAUUUCAAGCCAAAUUGAAGCGGAAUGAAGGGGGGAGCACUUAGGUUUAGGUUUUUACAUGUUUUUGUUAGUUUUUCUAGAGAUAGAAGCUCCCCCUUCUUUCUAGAAUUAGGAUUUUUAUCUUUAUUCUCUCUUUAAUUCUUGUUUAAUUGUAGUUUCAUUUACAUUUUCUUGUUCUAUUGCCUUUACUCUCUUUGUUUCCUUUGUUAAUUUCUCUUUUAUGCUCAUUUUAGU